RNAcentral lists this ribosomal RNA (538 nucleotides) under Echinodera hypocrita. RNAcentral's name for it is "partial 16S ribosomal RNA". It matches the Rfam family "Bacterial large subunit ribosomal RNA", at positions 1819 to 2625 of the family's 2925-position model. Lineage: Eukaryota; Metazoa; Arthropoda; Insecta; Coleoptera; Curculionidae. The record is from RNAcentral.
GGCUUUUUGAUAAUAAUUUAAGGUCUGACCUGCCCAAUGAUUUAAAUAUUUAAUGGCCGCGGUAUAUUGACCGUGCAAAGGUAGCAUAAUCAUUAGUUUUUUAAUUGAAAGCUUGUAUGAAAGGUUUGAUGAAAAAAUAACUGUCUUUAUUUAAGUUUGUUAGAAAUUUAUUUUUAAGUUAAAAAGCUUAAAUAUUUAUUAAAGACGAGAAGACCCUAUAGAGUUUUAUAUUUCUAUAGGAUUAUUAUAUUUAGGAUUUUUUAAUAGUUUUAAUAGAAUUAUUUGGUUGGGGUGAUUAAAAAAUUAAUUAAACUUUUUUAUUUUGAUUUACAUUGAUUUAUGGAUUUUUGAUCUUUAUAAAAGAUUAAUAGAUAAAAUUACCUUAGGGAUAACAGCGUAAUUUUUUUUAGAGUUCUUAUCGAAAAAAAAGAUUGCGACCUCGAUGUUGGAUUAAAAUUAAUUAUUGGUGUAGAAGCUAAUAAAUUAGGUCUGUUCGACCUUUAAAUUUUUACAUGAUCUGAGUUUAAACCGGUGUAAG